GGUUAAGCGACUAAGCGUACACGGUGGAUGCCCUGGCAGUCAGAGGCGAUGAAGGACGUGCUAAUCUGCGAAAAGCGUCGGUAAGGUGAUAUGAACCGUUAUAACCGGCGAUGUCCGAAUGGGGAAACCCAGUGUGAUUCGUCACACUAUCGUUAACUGAAUACAUAGGUUAACGAGGCGAACCGGGGGAACUGAAACAUCUAAGUACCCCGAGGAAAAGAAAUCAACCGAGAUUCCCCCAGUAGCGGCGAGCGAACGGGGAGCAGCCCAGAGUCUGAAUCAGCUUGUGUGUUAGUGGAACGGUCUGGAAAGUCCGACGGUACAGGGUGAUAGUCCCGUACACCAAAAUGCACAGGCUGUGAACUCGAAGAGUAGGGCGGGACACGUGGUAUCCUGUCUGAAUAUGGGGGGACCAUCCUCCAAGGCUAAAUACUCCUGACUGACCGAUAGUGAACCAGUACCGUGAGGGAAAGGCGAAAAGAACCCCGGCGAGGGGAGUGAAAAAGAACCUGAAACCGUGUACGUACAAGCAGUGGGAGCACCUUCGGGUGUGACUGCGUACCUUUUGUAUAAUGGGUCAGCGACUUAUAUUCUGUAGCAAGGUUAACCGUAUAGGGGAGCCGCAGGGAAACCGAGUCUUAACUGGGCGUUAAGUUGCAGGGUAUAGACCCGAAACCCGGUGAUCUAGCCAUGGGCAGGUUGAAGGUUGGGUAACACUAACUGGAGGACCGAACCGACUAAUGUUGAAAAAUUAGCGGAUGACUUGUGGCUGGGGGUGAAAGGCCAAUCAAACCGGGAGAUAGCUGGUUCUCCCCGAAAGCUAUUUAGGUAGCGCCUCGUGAAUUCAUCUUCGGGGGUAGAGCACUGUUUCGGCUAGGGGGUCAUCCCGACUUACCAACCCGAUGCAAACUACGAAUACCGAAGAAUGUUAUCACGGGAGACACACGGCGGGUGCUAACGUCCGUCGUGAAGAGGGAAACAACCCAGACCGCCAGCUAAGGUCCCAAAGUCAUGGUUAAGUGGGAAACGAUGUGGGAAGGCACAGACAGCCAGGAUGUUGGCUUAGAAGCAGCCAUCAUUUAAAGAAAGCGUAAUAGCUCACUGGUCGAGUCGGCCUGCGCGGAAGAUGUAACGGGGCUAAACCAUGCACCGAAGCUGCGGCAGCGACACUAUGUGUUGUUGGGUAGGGGAGCGUUCUGUAAGCCUGCGAAGGUGUGCUGUGAGGCAUGCUGGAGGUAUCAGAAGUGCGAAUGCUGACAUAAGUAACGAUAAAGCGGGUGAAAAGCCCGCUCGCCGGAAGACCAAGGGUUCCUGUCCAACGUUAAUCGGGGCAGGGUGAGUCGACCCCUAAGGCGAGGCCGAAAGGCGUAGUCGAUGGGAAACAGGUUAAUAUUCCUGUACUUGGUGUUACUGCGAAGGGGGGACGGAGAAGGCUAUGUUAGCCGGGCGACGGUUGUCCCGGUUUAAGCAUGUAGGCUGGUUGUCCAGGCAAAUCCGGAUAAUCAAGGCUGAGGUGUGAUGACGAGGCACUACGGUGCUGAAGUAACAAAUGCCCUGCUUCCAGGAAAAGCCUCUAAGCAUCAGGUAACAUCAAAUCGUACCCCAAACCGACACAGGUGGUCAGGUAGAGAAUACCAAGGCGCUUGAGAGAACUCGGGUGAAGGAACUAGGCAAAAUGGUGCCGUAACUUCGGGAGAAGGCACGCUGGUGUGUAGGUGAAGCCCCUGCGGGUGGAGCUGAGACCAGUCGAAGAUACCAGCUGGCUGCAACUGUUUAUUAAAAACACAGCACUGUGCAAACACGAAAGUGGACGUAUACGGUGUGACGCCUGCCCGGUGCCGGAAGGUUAAUUGAUGGGGUUAUCCGUAAGGAGAAGCUCUUGAUCGAAGCCCCGGUAAACGGCGGCCGUAACUAUAACGGUCCUAAGGUAGCGAAAUUCCUUGUCGGGUAAGUUCCGACCUGCACGAAUGGCGUAAUGAUGGCCAGGCUGUCUCCACCCGAGACUCAGUGAAAUUGAACUCGCUGUGAAGAUGCAGUGUACCCGCGGCAAGACGGAAAGACCCCGUGAACCUUUACUAUAGCUUGACACUGAACAUUGAGCCUUGAUGUGUAGGAUAGGUGGGAGGCUUUGAAGCGUGGACGCCAGUCUGCGUGGAGCCAACCUUGAAAUACCACCCUUUAAUGUUUGAUGUUCUAACGUUGGCCCCUUAUCGGGGUUGCGGACAGUGUCUGGUGGGUAGUUUGACUGGGGCGGUCUCCUCCCAAAGCGUAACGGAGGAGCACGAAGGUUAGCUAAUCCUGGUCGGACAUCAGGAGGUUAGUGCAAUGGCAUAAGCUAGCUUGACUGCGAGCGUGACGGCGCGAGCAGGUGCGAAAGCAGGUCAUAGUGAUCCGGUGGUUCUGAAUGGAAGGGCCAUCGCUCAACGGAUAAAAGGUACUCCGGGGAUAACAGGCUGAUACCGCCCAAGAGUUCAUAUCGACGGCGGUGUUUGGCACCUCGAUGUCGGCUCAUCACAUCCUGGGGCUGAAGUAGGUCCCAAGGGUAUGGCUGUUCGCCAUUUAAAGUGGUACGCGAGCUGGGUUUAGAACGUCGUGAGACAGUUCGGUCCCUAUCUGCCGUGGGCGCUGGAGAAUUGAGGGGGGCUGCUCCUAGUACGAGAGGACCGGAGUGGACGCAUCACUGGUGUUCGGGUUGUCAUGCCAAUGGCACUGCCCGGUAGCUAAAUGCGGAAGAGAUAAGUGCUGAAAGCAUCUAAGCACGAAACUUGCCCCGAGAUGAGUUCUCCCUGAGACUUUAAGUCUCCUGAAGGAACGUUGAAGACGACGACGUUGAUAGGCCGGGUGUGUAAGCGCAGCGAUGCGUUGAGCUAACCGGUACUAAUGAACCGUGAGGCUUAACCUU
Molecule: non-coding RNA, 2902 nt
Organism: Klebsiella pneumoniae IS39
Lineage: Bacteria; Pseudomonadati; Pseudomonadota; Gammaproteobacteria; Enterobacterales; Enterobacteriaceae
Source: Rfam